Molecule: transfer RNA, 74 nt
Filed under: Eucampia zodiacus
Lineage: Eukaryota; Bacillariophyta; Thalassiosirophyceae; Eucampiales; Eucampiaceae
Description: tRNA-Arg
Rfam family: tRNA
About the family: Transfer RNA (tRNA) molecules are approximately 80 nucleotides in length. Their secondary structure includes four short double-helical elements and three loops (D, anti-codon, and T loops).
Source: RNAcentral
GCGUUUAUAGCUUAAUUGGAUAAAGCGUCGGAUUUCGGUCCCGAAGAUUGUAAGUUCAAAUCUUACUAAACGUA